AAUGAUUUGACAACUAAAUAACAUUUUCCUAUUAUUUCUCCCUCUUCCCAAGUUCUUCUUCUUUAUUUACUUAAAGAAAUAAAACCCUCUGUAACCAGCAACACACCGUGGAUUCCGACAAGGAUAAGCCCAAAGACCACCACAUCCAUCAGAAAAUCCAGUAACAACAAUCAUAUUAAUUUCAACUCCUUAACUACAACAUUGACAUUAUAAUAGAAAUAAUAAAUACUUACAUGCUCGUCUGCACCCAAAAUAUGUCCCGACCACCAUGACCCAUUCCACUUGCUAACACAAACCAACCCACCCAUAGACUCAUUAAUGCCCAUUAUUUUUGCCUCACCAGAAAUCUCCAUCUCUUCACCAGCACCCAUUAAAACAAUCUCCAAAUAUAAUCUCAACUAAGAAAAGCCCCAAUUUCAGAAAACUCGGAAAAGCCCCAAUUCUAUCUCUGACAAAUGAAAAAGAUGAAAACUCAGAAAAGUCCCAAUUUCAUCUCUGACAAAUGAAAAAGAUGAAAACACAGAAAAACUCCAAUUUCAUCUCUGACAAAUGAAAAAAAUGAAAACUCCAAAAAAUUAAAUUGUACUCUUAUAAAGAGCUUCGAAUUGCCACUGAUGGCUUUAGCGCAUCUAAUAAAAUUGGUAAGGGAGGUUUUGGUUCCGUUUACAAGGUAACUGCACAUUUUUUUUUAUUGAUAUUUAAAGAUGUAUUUAUUUAAUACCAUCAUUGUUCACAUAUCUCUAAACUAAUUUAAAUAUGUCAGGGGAAGCUAAAAGAUGCAUCCCACCUUGGUGGCUAAGUCAGGGGUACAAGAGUUCACCCAUUCCACCUGCGAACCCAAACCAACCCACCAGAAAUCUCCAUCUCUUUAGCAGCACCCAUUGAAACAAUCUUCAAAUAUAAUCUCAACUAAGAAAAGCCCCAAUUUCAGAAAACUCGGAAAAACCCCAAUUUCAUCUCUGACAAAUAAAAAAGAUGAAAACUCAUCAAGCCUUAAUUUCAUCUCUGACAAAUGGAAAAAAUGAAAACUCGGAAAAGCCAUGAAGCCAAAAACUAGAAAGUUUGAAGAUGAAGGCCGCCGUUGGGGCGGAGGAACUGACCGUAUCGAGUCCCGAGCUUCACCUUUAUGACCAUCUCGAAUGGGUUCCCAAUCGAGGGAGGAAUCGAGGCGGCGGGGGAGAGUUUGGAGGACUUUCUGUCCGGUCAUGCCAAGGAGAAACGGGUGGUUAGAGGCGGUGAGGUACUUGCCGUAGAACUCUGGAGGCGGAAGAAGAGAAGAUGAAGAAAAAAUGAGAAGAAAGAGAGAGAAAGAGAGAAGGUUUUAAUGAAAAAAUUAUAAAUAAAAUGAAUUAAAAUAUUUAUUUUAAUUAUUUUUUGCCACA
RNAcentral lists this long non-coding RNA (1382 nucleotides) under Panax ginseng (ginseng). RNAcentral's name for it is "long non-coding RNA (PGIN_LNC007724)". The record is from RNAcentral. Lineage: Eukaryota; Viridiplantae; Streptophyta; Magnoliopsida; Apiales; Araliaceae.